Molecule: non-coding RNA, 54 nt
Organism: Salmo salar (Atlantic salmon)
Lineage: Eukaryota; Metazoa; Chordata; Actinopteri; Salmoniformes; Salmonidae
Source: Rfam
GAAUACACUAACUGUACAUUGCUCUGGAUAAGAGCAUCUGCUAAAUGACUAAAA